UGGGGAAUAUUGCACAAUGGAGGAAACUCUGAUGCAGCGACGCCGCGUGGAGGAAGAAGGUCUUCGGAUUGUAAACUCCUGUUGUUGAGGACGAUAAUGACGGUACUCAACAAGGAAGUGACGGCUAACUACGUGCCAGCAGCCGCGGUAAAACAUAGGUCACAAGCGUUGUCCGGAAUUACUGGGUGUAAAGGGAGCGCAGGCGGGAAUGCAAGUUGGGAGUGAAAUCUACGGGCUCAACCCGUAAACUGCUCUCAAAACUGUAUUUCUUGAGUAGUGCAGAGGUAGGCGGAAUUCCCGGUGUAGCGGUGGAAUGCGUAGAUAUCGGGAGGAACACCAGUGGCGAAGGCGGCCUACUGGGCACCAACUGACGCUGAGGCUCGAAAGUGUGGGUAG
This 396-nucleotide ribosomal RNA is filed under the name uncultured bacterium. Its description in RNAcentral is "bacterial SSU rRNA". It matches the Rfam family "Bacterial small subunit ribosomal RNA", at positions 355 to 768 of the family's 1533-position model. The record is from RNAcentral.